GAUGAACGCUGGCGGCGUGCCUAAUACAUGCAAGUCGAGCGAACAGAUCAGGAGCUUGCUCCUCUGACGUUAUCGGCGGACGGGUGAGUAACACGUGGAUAACCUACCUAUAAGACUGGGAUAACUUCGGGAAACCGGAGCUAAUACCGGAUAAUAUAUUGAACCGCAUGGUUCACUAGUUAAAGACGGUUUUGCUGUCACUUAUAGAUGGAUCCGCGCCGCAUUAGCUAGUUGGUAAGGUAACGGCUUACCAAGGCAACGAUGCGUAGCCGACCUGAGAGGGUGAUCGGCCACACUGGAACUGAGACACGGUACAGACUCCUACGGGAGGCAGCAGUAGGGAAUCUUCCGCAAUGGGCGAAAGGCUGACGGAGCAACGCCGCGUGAGUGAUGAAGGUCUUCGGAUCGUAAAACUCUGUUAUUAGGGAAGAACAAAUGUGUAAGUAACUAUGCACGUCUUGACGGUACCUAAUCAGAAAGCCACGGCUAACUACGUG
RNAcentral lists this ribosomal RNA (497 nucleotides) under uncultured bacterium. RNAcentral describes it as "partial 16S ribosomal RNA". It matches the Rfam family "Bacterial small subunit ribosomal RNA", at positions 28 to 507 of the family's 1533-position model. The record is from RNAcentral.